AACGUAGGGGUCGAGCGUUAUCCGGAAUUACUGGGCGUAAAGCGCGUGCAGGCGGUUGUCCAAGUCGGACGUGAAAGCUCCUGGCUCAACUGGGAGAGGCCGUUCGAAACGGGGCAACUAGAGCGUGGUAGAGGCGAGUGGAAUUCCCGGUGUAGUGGUGAAAUGCGUAGAUAUCGGGAGGAACACCAGAGGCGAAAGCGGCUCGCUGGGCCACGACUGACGCUCAGACGCGAAAGCUAGGGGAGAGAACGGG
This 253-nucleotide unclassified non-coding RNA is filed under the name uncultured Anaerolineae bacterium. RNAcentral describes it as "contains 16S-23S intergenic spacer region". It matches the Rfam family "Bacterial small subunit ribosomal RNA", at positions 524 to 776 of the family's 1533-position model. Lineage: Bacteria; Bacillati; Chloroflexota; Anaerolineae. The record is from RNAcentral.